Molecule: ribosomal RNA, 498 nt
Filed under: uncultured bacterium
Lineage: Bacteria
Description: partial 16S ribosomal RNA
Rfam family: Bacterial small subunit ribosomal RNA
Source: RNAcentral
AUUGAACACUGGCGGCAUGCCUUACACAUGCAAGUCGAACGGUAACAGGUCUUCGGAUGCUGACGAGUGGCGAACGGGUGAGUAAUACAUCGGAACGUGCCUAGUAGUGGGGGAUAACUACUCGAAAGAGUGGCUAAUACCGCAUGAGAUCUACGUAUGAAAGCAGGGGAUCGCAAGACCUUGUGCUACUAGAGCGGCCGAUGGCAGAUUAGGUAGUUGGUGGGAUAAAAGCUUACCAAGCCGACGAUCUGUAGCUGGUCUGAGAGGACGAUCAGCCACACUGGGACUGAGACACGGCCCAGACUCCUACGGGAGGCAGCAGUGGGGAAUUUUGGACAAUGGGCGAAAGCCUGAUCCAGCAAUGCCGCGUGCAGGAUGAAGGCCUUCGGGUUGUAAACUGCUUUUGUACGGAGCGAAAAGCCCCGGGUUAAUACCCUGGGGUCAUGACGGUACCGUAAGAAUAAGCACCGGCUAACUACGUGCCAGCCGCCGCGGUAA